Molecule: non-coding RNA, 4626 nt
Organism: Lolium perenne
Lineage: Eukaryota; Viridiplantae; Streptophyta; Magnoliopsida; Poales; Poaceae
Source: RefSeq, a predicted model, not a curated record
GGUAUAAACGAUGCCCCCCAUAGGGGGCUUCACAGCGAUUGGAGCUUCUCCACCGUCCGAUCUUCCCAUCAGGCACAUCUCGACCGUUCGUUUCGAGCCAGCAGGGGCGUGUGGACACUUUCCCAUUGGUUCCCUUGCUAGACGAAGCCAUGAAACGGCGCUAUUUUACCCGUCCUGUGGCUGCAUCUGGGUCCCACGUUCGGUUGGGUCCACUCAUCAUUCGCUGGGUUGUGUUUGGAGUUGGUCACGCGUCGGUUUGGCCCGUGAGAAAGAUUUUCUCCCGUCGGGUAGUUUGGGGUUUUCCUCGAUGUCCCACACUCCCACCCAAUCCCCUCCCCCGUGGUCUCCCCAAUCCGCUUGCGAUGCCCGCCUCCUCCUGUUCAUCCUCCUCCAAUCCCCUUGCGCCGCCGGCACCAGUUCGUCGCGUCGCCAUCGCCGGACGGAAGCACAAGUCGUCCCUCGCAUCGCAGACAAGCCUUGUCUGGUCGCCAUGGCAGGGAGAGGAAGCGCAGGCCACCGCUCGCCCCACCACCUCAUGUCGUCGCCAUUGCCGGGAGGAGUCACAGGCUGCUGCUGUUUGGCGGUUCCUCUCUGUCUCUCCUCGUGCGCUCUGAGAUCCCGUCCAUGGCAUGGUCGUCCUCCGGCCUUGAGCGGGACAGAAGAUUUAUGGAGGCGGCCGUCGGUCCUGCUGAUGGUGAAGAAGAAAAAGGGGCGGGACGCCACUGAGACGGACAGGUAGAGGUUGAUGUGCAGCGAGGCUACCUCGUCGCCAUUGAGACAGAUUAAAGGUACAUUCUAAUCCCCCACCCCCGCACAUGAAGUUGGUCUUCCACACAUCACCAAGGAGCCAGGCAUCCCGUCACGCUGCGGUCGUCGCCGUCAGGUUCUCCGGCCCCGACGCCGUUGGGAGGGCUCCUCAGGGCCAGCGAAGUAGGGGAGGUCGCUCUGCUAGGAGGGGCUUAACCGUGUGGAGCACAUCAACCUCCUCGGAGCAUACAGGUGGGUUCUCUCCAUUAUGCACACAACGUGUUUGAUGAAAAUACAAGCAGACCACGGGUGAAGUUAAUUCGUUUUUUUCUUGAAUUUAGCUUCAGUAACGAUGGCUCCCAUCUAUAUAACUUUUUGAUAUAUGACUUUCACGUGCAAGCUACCAUUAAUGAUAUGUAUGAGUAGAUUUGUAGGAAAAAAAUAUGUGAUUGACUGUUUGAGACACCCAUCAAAUAAUAUAUCUCUAAUUGGAAGCCCAUGUACAGCUUUCUCAGCUGUUUGAGAAGUACUAGAUAAUUUCAGUGUCUUUUUUCCGAUCAAGAGCAGGGUUGUUAUGUUGAUCAAGAGCGGUUGCAGGCGCAUAUCUAUCGGUUAGUUCAUAUCAAAUCCCAUGGAAACCAUGUUUGGCUGUUGCUUUGGCAUGUGAUAUGCACUUAUGAUUAUUGUUGGGUUUCCUAACUUUGAUAUCGACCAAUGACACACCAAUGACACAUGUCGUUUAGAAUACUAAAUAUAUUACUGGAAUUUGUAAUCAAAUAAUAUUUGCUGGUGUGAGUAGACCACCAUUUAUUUAUUUCCCAUGCCCAUUAUUUUUGCAGUAUGUUCUUUUUUGUUUUUUGAAAAUGCAUUGCAGGUUAUCUAAAUAUAUUGAUCCUAAGGUGCUAUGUGUUCUGCAUUUUGCAUUGUGUCAGUUUUUUGGUAUUUAGCAAAAGGUUGUCUGGGUUUGGGUAGGAGCAUCAACCGGUCACUAACAGUUCACUCAUGUAAAAUAAGCUUUUUACCAAUGUGCUUUCCAAAUCUGCAUCACCAAGAGCUCUCCGCCAUGUUGAUUUUAUUUCAGUUUCCCUUCCGAUAUAUGUGAUAUGUGUGUGUUUUCUCGCCUCACAACAUCUUCCAAUAUAUCACAGAGAGUUUCAAUUGGUAUCGGUGACAUGUUAAUCUUCUGUAGGAUCUGUAGCUUCAAUUGGUGUGCAAGAAGCUAUUGUAGGAUUUGUAGCAUUAGAAUAUUGUAACUACAUCACGGAUACAGAUGUCGAAUAUUUAUCAGGUAGAAGCACAACUAUUUGUUUCCUGAUAUUAUCUUCUUUGGUAUAUCAUACAGCCUGCUUCAGACUUAUACACAUUCUCUGAAUAGGAUGGAAUUUUGAAGAGCAGAAGUAUGGUGGCUCAUAAUAGCAGCCUAAGAUAUCAAGGGUAGAUAUGUAUAGAUACUGCAAGCCAACUAUUUUAUAAGUCUGGGCAUGCCAAAUAUUGGCUGAUUUUCGGUAAAAUAUGUUUUCUUAAUUUAAUCAGCAAUUAAUGAAAUAAGGUAUUCGUACAACUCUCUCUUUUUUGCCGUACCAUAGGCUUGCAACUGCUUCUUGUGUUAGCUUAACAGACAAGCAGCUCUGCAGAUCAAACUGUCCUUCUUUGUGAGCUUACACAAGUAAUAGGUUCAGAUCUUUUUUAUGAACCUACAACUUUCCUCUAGCCAACUAUACACUCCCGAUUAUUGUAUGUGGUGCCGUUCUCAACUGUAUGCUGGUACUGUUCUUUGGUGCUAGCACUUUCAAUUAUUUUGCUCAAGACAUUCGUGUGUGUGCUAGCUUGCGAUGACAGGUCGGUUUUUUGGGUUUCUAGGGAAAAAUAAAGAGAGUGCAGGCCAUGGUAUCGUUCAGUUCGACCAUUCAAAAUCACCACCUGAUUUGAGCUUUUUCAGUAAUAAUUCAUCUCGUGCUACUUUCCCAACAAUGCAUAGUCCUUACCGUGUUUAUUUUUCCUGCAGCCCCAAGCACUUGCCUAUUUCAUGUAUAUAUUGAUAUCUUUCCAGUUCGUGCGCUUUCAGGUUUUAACCAUGGUAUACAUUCACCAAAAUAGCUUUUAAAUUUCUAUCUUGUGUGUACUACGUAGCUUCGAGUACAGUUUCUUGCUAGAUUUUGUAUGGUAUGCGAGCUAAAUCCAUUAUCCAAACUAUUUUUUAUGUUUGUCUACAUAACCAAGAGAUAUUUACAUCUUAACUUGUAGGAGAUCAGAUGUUUUCUGAUUUGCGUUUAAGACGAGCUUAAACUGAUUGGUAUCUUCACCACGUAGCUUUCUCAGAAUGCGAGGAUUCAAUGUGUUGAAGGCAAAAUGGAUAUUCUUGAAUAUGCUGAAAUGGUGUCAGGAUUGUGUUGUUGUGCCAUUGCAAAGAUGGUUGAAGGAUUAGGUGGAGCCAACAAGUGCAGCAAUAAAAAUUGUGAGCAAUUAGUCGGAAGGUUGUAGGACAAGGUCCAUUCCUUUGGUUGAGAACAUUUUGCUUCCGAAACAAAGUAGUGCUGAAAUCAAUGCUCGAGUAAAUCUUGAGAUGAAUGCAGUUAGUGUGCUCAUUACAUAGAUCUCUCGAAAGCAUAUCACAAGGUUUCUCCGCUCCCACCUGGGAAUGAGAAAUCUCCGGGGGCGUAUUUCUUCUUUGUUCUGAUAUAUCCAGUCAUUCGGGAUCGAUAGGGCAUAAAAGCACCUAUUACUUCGAAUUAUACAAAUGCUUGAGUAGGUCCACUAAUUUUGUUAUAGGAUCUAAACUACACUAUUCCAUCCUCUGUUCUCUAUGAUUUAAUUCAGGUAAAUGGCCAUUAUAAUCUUUCCCUCUUUCACUGCCACUUCCUUCAUUUUGGAGAGUGGCUAUAGAUAAUCACCAUGCUAACUCUCUGAAUGUAGUGCAUAAAAUAUUUAGCUCAAAUUCAGUUUUGUUUUAGUCUAACCUGAAAUUAAGUAGCUUACGUUUGUUAAUCUACCAACCCAGUAUAUAUCAAAGCAAGGCAAGUUGACUAUCCGUACAUGGUUUAGGUUUUGCAGUAUCUACAUGUGAUCUAAGCAUUGUUUUAUUUGUGUAAUGUUGUUUGGCUGCUUAAUCAGGCUUUGUUAUUUCUGCAUCACAUGUGCGUCAUGAACUUCAACGACAUCACGCACCAUUUUCUGCUUUCUAUUUACGCUGCCCUUGAUCUGAAGAAAAGAAAAAAAGGCGCAGUCCAUGCAACUGCUAUGGACAUUUAGAUGGUGUCUCCUGAAUCUGCUGAAUUAUGUAUUGGGAGCGAUGGGGCAGGUCUAUUCGACAACGUGCUAUGUGUGUUUCUUCAGCCAGGAUUAAGGUGCUCCCAGAGUGGCUCAAUUCUUCUUCACGUGUCGCGGAAGGCUUCAUUGCGCCUUGCCGAAAGGUUGUCCUCUAGAUUGCUGGCCGUAUUGGUACCAGGGACUCCACUCUAUUCAUUGGCUACCAAAAAAACAAUUACAGUACCCCUGUUGAGUAUCAUUGUCAAUAGAUUGUUGUCGAGGUCGAGUGUGUGCCCUCAAGCACAUGUAUCAAGAAUAACUAGGGUACUUUUUAUCCUUCGAGCAUAGUUGGUAUAAGUCAUCCACAACCUAAUGGAAGUUGUCGAGAUGGAAGCUGUCAAGAUCCUGCCCAGUGUCAUGUUGGAAGCUAUGUUGCAGAAGCUGCACCUUUUAGCGGUGCAACUACUUAUUAGAAUUAGUUUUUUUUGUGCGCAGUGGCCUUUAAAGACUGAAUUGAGGCAGGCUUAUUUAGAUGUUACUUUUGUUACUUUUAGCAUAAAAGUGUUAAUUUAUUUCGCUCUUUCCUUGAUUGUGCAUAAGCAUUGUUGUUCUAUUCUGAUUUUGUGUGUUCAA